ACCAGCUUUUAUUUAUCACAAGGUUCUGAUUUUUUUAAUAAUUUUUGUGAUAAUUUUUUAAAUCUCAUUGGCUCCUCUCAUGAUUUUAAUACGAUUUGUUCAUUACUAAAAUAUUUAACUAGUAAGAUAUUCAUAAAAAUCUAAAUAAGUCUAGAUUCUAAUGAACUGACUGUAUAUUAAACAGUAAAGUUGUGAACCACCCAUCCUUCAAUGCUUAAAUUGUUAAUUGUUCAAUCCUGUCAUUUAUGAUGAGUAUAUAAAACAAGUUUUCCACCUGUUCGGAGUUAUUGGAGCUUUUCCUCUAUCUUAUUCCAACUUGCAUCUAAAUGUGUUUCUCUAAUGUUUUAUCUAAAUUUUCGUCGUUUAUUCUGAAGUGUUUUAUGCUUAUGGAUACACUUUUUAGCCAUUAAAUAAUUCAGCUCUUCAAGCAAAUGUUGAAUAUCAAAAUUGACUAGGAAUCAAUAGAAACCGGUGAUCUAAAUUUCAUCUUGAAAGUUGUUCAUUUUCAUAUGACUGGGCUGGAAUGCUUGAACUGAAUCGACUUGAUUUCACAAAAGGAAAAUGAAAGAACACAAUAAAUUUAUUGUGCCCUGUUCUCGGCCAGUAUAAAAGUCUUAAGUGUACUUUUCAUCAAGCAUUUUCAGCGAUCACCCAACACUUAGAUGUAUUUAGUUACACCAUUUUAAGGUACUAUUGUUGACUAAAUGAGCGAAAAACAUGUUAUUUAAAGAAGAUAUCAGAGCAAUACAGCGUGACACUUGAUUUUCAAUGGUGCUAUCAUCAUUGUUGAACAAGUUGUGUUCAUCAUUGUUACGAUUGACAGUUUUUGUUUGAUUUGUGUUUCUUUUUGUAUUAACAAGCGUUCACUCUGUGUGUACACUUCACAGUCUUUUCAGUAUUUUGUAAAAAAUCAGAACCAUGCCAUGUCUCCCUAUCCGGUACCUUUUUGCGUAAUCUAUUAGUUAAGCUAAUUGUUUACUCAAGUAUCGUUAGUUCCAUUGAAAAGAUUAACACCAACAGUGAUUAUAAAUCGAAUCAGUAAAUAGUCAUUUUCUAUUAGCUUAAUAAUAAACAAUUCAAUUUAUCUCGUCAUGUAAUUAACCGUUUAUUGCUAUUUUUGCUACCCUAACUAUCUGUAUCCACCCUUUUCAAUGAUAACAAUAGUGCAGAGACAAUGAUUUAUUAAACCCCUGACUUACUGAACAGUUUUGUAAUAGUAGUUUUAAUAAUAAAAAGAUUGAAAUUUAAUAAGAACUGGAUCGAGCUGUGGUAUUUAAGGAUUCAUUAGUACAUUGAUAAAACCAAAAAAAACUCGAAUCACGAUCAUCUCGUCAUAUUUAUUUUACCAGUUGAUUUGUUGAUUUCAAAACUCAUACUUGGAACUGCCAUAUUAAAUGCUUGAACUUGAAUUAAAA
Tetranychus urticae (two-spotted spider mite) is the source of this 1415-nucleotide long non-coding RNA. RefSeq lists it as uncharacterized. Lineage: Eukaryota; Metazoa; Arthropoda; Arachnida; Trombidiformes; Tetranychidae. The record is from RefSeq and is a predicted model, not a curated record.